UACGUAGGUGGCGAGCGUUGUCCGGAUUUACUGGGCGUAAAGAGCGCGCAGGCGGUCGUCCAAGUUGCGUGUGAAAGCCCCCGGCUCAACUGGGGAGGGUCACGCGAUACUGAUCGACUCGAAGGCAGGAGAGGGAAGCGGAAUUCCCGGUGUAGUGGUGAAAUGCGUAGAUAUCGGGAGGAACACCAGUGGCGAAGGCGGCUUCCUGGCCUGUUCUUGACGCUGAGGCGCGAAAGCUAGGGUAGCAAACGGG
Molecule: ribosomal RNA, 253 nt
Filed under: uncultured bacterium
Lineage: Bacteria
Description: partial 16S ribosomal RNA
Rfam family: Bacterial small subunit ribosomal RNA
Source: RNAcentral